Molecule: transfer RNA, 107 nt
Filed under: Promethearchaeota archaeon
Lineage: Archaea; Promethearchaeati; Promethearchaeota
Description: Candidatus Lokiarchaeota archaeon (microbial mat metagenome) tRNA-Ala
Source: RNAcentral
GGGCCGGUAGAUUAGCCCGGCAACGUGUCGCACUACGUGACAUUUCGGGGCAGAUCGUCUGGUUUGCAUCCAGAAGGUCGCGUGUUCAAAUCACGCCCGGUCCACCA